Molecule: non-coding RNA, 388 nt
Organism: Oncorhynchus mykiss (rainbow trout)
Lineage: Eukaryota; Metazoa; Chordata; Actinopteri; Salmoniformes; Salmonidae
Source: RefSeq, a predicted model, not a curated record
UUGAGGUAACAUGAUAACAGUUCAAUAUGGGGUGUGUAUUAAUGUAUUGAGGUAACAUGAUAACAGUUCAAUAUGGGGUGUGUAUUAAUGUAUUGAGGUCUGAUAGUAACAGUUCAAUAUGCGGUGUGUAUUAAUGUAUUGAGGUAACAUGAUAACAGUUCAAUAUGGGGUGUGUAUUUAUGUAUUGAGGUCUGAUAGUAACAGUUCAAUAUGGGGUGUGUAUUAAUGUAUUGAGGUCUGAUAGUAACAGUUCAAUAUGGGGUGUGUAUUAAUGUAUUGAGGUAACAUGAUAACAGUUCAAUAUGGGGUGUGUAUUAAUGUAUUGAGGUAACAUGAUAACAGUUCAAUAUGGGGUGUGUAUUAAUGUAUUGAGGUAACAUGAUAACAG